RNAcentral lists this non-coding RNA (27 nucleotides) under Bombyx mori (domestic silkworm). The record is from RNAcentral. Lineage: Eukaryota; Metazoa; Arthropoda; Insecta; Lepidoptera; Bombycidae.
UACCGUCGUCCAGGCUUCCGUCAGAGC